Long non-coding RNA from Numida meleagris (helmeted guineafowl), 256 nucleotides. RefSeq lists it as uncharacterized. The transcript is spliced from 2 exons. The record is from RefSeq and is a predicted model, not a curated record. NCBI's taxonomy places the organism in Eukaryota, Metazoa, Chordata, Aves, Galliformes, Numididae.
UACCUUCUCAUUGAGCAGGAUCAAGCCAAGCAGAGGCCGAGACAUUGACCACUGGUUCCUGCAGUCCUCGAAGAUGAUGAUAUUCAGCACUGUCGACAGCAUCUGCAAGAGGGAACACGGAGCUUAGAGCGAGCGCUUGCAUGCACGGACAGCGCGUGCUCCAGCACCCUGGGAUCCUCCUCCAAAAGAUUUUGUCCGUGCUUCAUCCCACGGCCUCAUCACAAAGCAGCAGGAAUUAAAGCCAGCACCUGACCGA